GUGCCAGCAGCCGCGGUAAUACGUAGGUGGCAAGCGUUGUCCGGAAUUAUUGGGCGUAAAGGGCUCGCAGGCGGUUUCUUAAGUCUGAUGUGAAAGCCCCCGGCUCAACCGGGGAGGGUCAUUGGAAACUGGGAAACUUGAGUGCAGAAGAGGAGAGUGGAAUUCCACGUGUAGCGGUGAAAUGCGUAGAGAUGUGGAGGAACACCAGUGGCGAAGGCGACUCUCUGGUCUGUAACUGACGCUGAGGAGCGAAAGCGUGGGGAGCGAACAGGAUUAGAUACCCUGGUAGUCCACGCCGUAAACGAUGAGUGCUAAGUGUUAGGGGGUUUCCGCCCCUUAGUGCUGCAGCUAACGCAUUAAGCACUCCGCCUGGGGAGUACGGUCGCAAGACUGAAACUCAAAGGAAUUGACGGGGGCCCGCACAAGCGGUGGAGCAUGUGGUUUAAUUCGAAGCAACGCGAAGAACCUUACCAGGUCUUGACAUCCUCUGACAACCCUAGAGAUAGGGCUUUCCCUUCGGGGACAGAGUGACAGGUGGUGCAUGGUUGUCGUCAGCUCGUGUCGUGAGAUGUUGGGUUAAGUCCCGCAACGAGCGCAACCCU
RNAcentral lists this ribosomal RNA (602 nucleotides) under Bacillus pumilus. RNAcentral's name for it is "bacterial SSU rRNA". It matches the Rfam family "Bacterial small subunit ribosomal RNA", at positions 505 to 1105 of the family's 1533-position model. Lineage: Bacteria; Bacillati; Bacillota; Bacilli; Caryophanales; Bacillaceae. The record is from RNAcentral.